AGUGAACGCUGGCGGUAGGCCUAACACAUGCAAGUCGAACGGCAGCACAGUAAGAGCUUGCUCUUACGGGUGGCGAGUGGCGGACGGGUGAGGAAUACAUCGGAAUCUACUUUUUCGUGGGGGAUAACGUAGGGAAACUUACGCUAAUACCGCAUACGACCUACGGGUGAAAGCAGGGGAUCUUCGGACCUUGCGCGAUUGAAUGAGCCGAUGUCGGAUUAGCUAGUUGGCGGGGUAAAGGCCCACCAAGGCGACGAUCCGUAGCUGGUCUGAGAGGAUGAUCAGCCACACUGGAACUGAGACACGGUCCAGACUCCUACGGGAGGCAGCAGUGGGGAAUAUUGGACAAUGGGCGCGAACCUGAUCCAGCCGUACCGCGUGGGUGAAGAAGACCUUCGGGUUGUAAAGCCCUUUUGUUGGGAAAGAAAGGCAGCAGGUUAAUACCCCGCUGUUCUGACGGUACCCAAAGAAUAAGCACCGGCUAACUUCGUG
This 492-nucleotide ribosomal RNA is filed under the name uncultured bacterium. Its description in RNAcentral is "partial 16S ribosomal RNA". It matches the Rfam family "Bacterial small subunit ribosomal RNA", at positions 29 to 507 of the family's 1533-position model. The record is from RNAcentral.